GGAGGUAGUGACAAUAAAUCACAAUGCGGAACUUCUGUUUUGCAAUUGGAUUGAGAACAACGCACAACAUUUAUCGAUAAACAAUUGGAGGGCAAGUCUGGUGCCAGCAGCCGCGGUAAUUCCAGCUCCAAUAGCGUAUAUUAACGUUGUUGCAGUUAAAAAGCUCGUAGUUGAAGUGAAGUGUGAAUCUCUUGGAUUUCCGUUUGAAUUUCCUUUAGCUUCAUACUCUUUCCAAAUAGUUUGCAUGGGUAUUUACUUAUCUGUGUAUUGCAUUUGGUCAUUUACUGUGAGAAAAUUAGAGUGUUCAAAGCAUACGUUUGUUUGAAUACAUUAGCAUGGAAUAAUUCGAAAAGGCUUUCAUGUUCGAUUUGAUUGGUUUGUUCGUGAAGGCAAGAUUAAAAGGGACAGUUGGGGGUAUUCAUAUUCAAUAGUCAGAGGUGAAAUUCUCGGAUUUAUGGAAGAUGAACAAGUGCGAAAGCA
This 480-nucleotide ribosomal RNA is filed under the name Blastocystis sp. RNAcentral's name for it is "SSU rRNA". It matches the Rfam family "Eukaryotic small subunit ribosomal RNA", at positions 460 to 953 of the family's 1831-position model. The record is from RNAcentral. Lineage: Eukaryota; Bigyra; Opalinata; Blastocystidae.